CUCAUGUCAAUGUUUUACCAAACAUAUUCAUUGUGUUAAAUUUCCAUAGCUUUUUUUUUUAAAUAGUGUAGGCUACAUGUUGAAACGUGACAUGAAAGCCUAGUACUGACAAAAAUAUGCGGUGGUUUUACAUUGGGAAAAGUGAACUAUUUUCUCCAAAGAUUUGCACUGAUUUAGCCUAUUGGUCAGUAGAGGGCAACAUAAGAUAGUCUUAACAGGUUCAGUCCGUAAUUGAGCUCUGGCUUGUAGAUACAGAGAGCCUGGUGUUGUUACCUGUGUUCCUGGGCGGUAAGCCGAGGAUGCAUGACUUCUCUCUCAUAAAUGUCAGAAUUUUUCUCUCACUCCUGUAGUCUUGGAUAAAUCCGUAACAUCUUCCCUAUCUGCCAUCCACAUCUCUAUUACAAAGCCUGAAUAUUUUCUGAGCAAGGCAGCAGGGGAUUUGGCUGGAGAAAACAGAGUUUCUGACAUGACAGAGCAUGUUUUUGGAUAAUGGUUAUUUUUCUCUCUCUCCUCCUUCUGCCGUCUUCACAUUCAGAAGCUUCUCUCUGUACCAGUGCCAUUACUUAUGAGAUGGCCAUUGUUCAUUGUGAGGAGCUUUUGAAGUGAAUGGAGAAAGGAGCACUGACUGUAGCAAAUUACCUGGGCUGAAACAUUUUUGACAUAAGUCCUAAGAGGCGGGUGAGCCACUUCUCCUGGAGGCCCCAUCGGGAGCGUUUAAUCUCGGGCCAUGAGAGGCAGCAUUGCUGACAGACUGACAGGACAGCUGGACACGCUUCCAGGCGGCAGUGACGGACACGCCAGUCUUCGGAGCAGGGCUACUGCCCAUGCAUCACCACAAAGCACCAUGAUGAUGGCAGCAGGGGGCAGCUGA
This 871-nucleotide long non-coding RNA is filed under the name Sinocyclocheilus anshuiensis. RNAcentral describes it as "lncRNA (ENSSANG00000010803.1)". The record is from RNAcentral. Lineage: Eukaryota; Metazoa; Chordata; Actinopteri; Cypriniformes; Cyprinidae.